Non-coding RNA from Arachis ipaensis, 231 nucleotides. The record is from RefSeq and is a predicted model, not a curated record. NCBI's taxonomy places the organism in Eukaryota, Viridiplantae, Streptophyta, Magnoliopsida, Fabales, Fabaceae.
UAAAAGCAAAGUGUCUUGUUUUCAAUGUUGCAGGUGUGUGUCACUUAUUAGAAGCUUCUCCAUGAGAAAGAAGAUGUAUGAACAUGAUGGAGUUUGUAAUUUGUAGUUUAUAUUUUGGAGAUUUAUAAUUCCUUGUUUUUCUUGUCCUAUGUAUCUAUCUAGUUCAUUAGGGUUCUUCAAUGUAUCUUGUUAGUUUGUACUUUAAAGUUUAUAUGUUGAAGAUUUAUAAAA